UGCGCAGGCCGCGCGGGCAGUCAAAUGUGUAAUUCAGGGGCUCAACCCCUGCACUGCGCUUGAUACUUCCGCGCUCGAGCUUUGGAGAGGAGUCUGGAAUUCUCGGUGUAGCAGUGAAAUGCGUGGAUAUCGAGAAGAACACUUAGGGCGAAGGCAAGACUCUGGACAAAUGCUGACGCUCAUGCACGAGGCUAGGGUAGCGAAC
RNAcentral lists this ribosomal RNA (205 nucleotides) under uncultured bacterium. RNAcentral describes it as "partial 16S ribosomal RNA". It matches the Rfam family "Bacterial small subunit ribosomal RNA", at positions 568 to 773 of the family's 1533-position model. The record is from RNAcentral.